Thamnophis elegans (Western terrestrial garter snake) is the source of this 3128-nucleotide long non-coding RNA. RefSeq lists it as uncharacterized. The record is from RefSeq and is a predicted model, not a curated record. Lineage: Eukaryota; Metazoa; Chordata; Lepidosauria; Squamata; Natricidae. The transcript is spliced from 2 exons.
ACAUCCCGUUUUUGAUGCUCUGCACGUGCUGACAUUUGUGAAUUGGUAGUGAAGGUAAGUUGAUUUCACCCCUGACUUAAAUGUUCACUAAAAUCUCGGUGAUGAUUGCUUAUAUUGCAGGAUUGUAAAAGGCUUUAGGAAAAGGUGGUGUCUCUAUGUCAAACUCACGUCACAGUGGCGUCACGUGAUGAAUUGGUACUUUUUUCCCCUUUGCAAAAUGGUGUGGGUGUGGCCAAUCUGUGACGCUUCCGCCCACAGGCCAGGAGUUUGACAACCCUGUUCCAGAUAUUCUUUGAAGACCUGUGUUGCUAUGUUGUUUGUUUUGCCAGUUUGUACAGAUAAUUAUAGAACAUAGUUUAUUCUGCUUUCAAAAAAUAAGAAACAUCUUAUUAAAACAAUUAGUUUAAAUCUGUAUGAAACAUUUUAUGCAAAAAUUGAUAGACUUCAUAGUUAGCUAAAUACCUACUUUUAAAUUAAUUGGUUAUUUUAGUUGUAGCUAAUUUGCAUUCCAGCAUCACUGGCAUUUUCAAACUUAGAGCAAAUAGUGUUGCUGGAUUUUAGAAAAAAAGCUGAGAUAAUUUCUUAAAAAGAGCAUUGACUGUGAUUAUGUGCCUUUCUUUUUACAUUAAUAGGCUUCUGAUUUGCCUGGAAACAUACAUUCACCAUAUUUAGUUUUGUUGAUGGUAUAGGAAAGCUUGCUCAAUACCCUUUAUUGGGUUUCAAUAUCUACAUGAAUGUAUUAGAUUCCCCCCUCUAUAUUCCAUUAGAUGGUAUCUGUAUUUUCUCUGGAAGAUUAGGGAUCUCUCUGAAAAAAUUCGGAGAAAAAAGGAAGUCCUGGAACUCAAAGCUUUAUUCUUGAAGUUCACUCCUUCCAUAUAUUUUAUUUGGGUGCAAUUGACAAAUUCAGUCUUGAGUGGUAGUGCAUGUUGGCAUUAUACAGGUUAAUAGAAAGCAAGCAGUCCCCUAGUUAAGAACUAGUUCAGUUGCUAAUUAUCUUUAACUCAAAUUUGAAUGUAAGUUGGAACUCAUAGUUCAUAGACAGAUGGCAUAUUACUAAAAAUGGCCAAUGGUGUUAUUAAGCUGACUUACUGCUGAAGCCACACAGUGCUUUUAGGAACCACUGAAAACCAUUUGUAAAUUAAAAACAUACUUUCAGCAGUUCCUAAAAGGAUUGCACAGCCUCAGUGGUUAAACUUUUAGUUACAGGCAGCCCAUUUGUAUUUAAGGGUUGUCCUUAAAUUGGAUGUUCUUACCCGGGGAACUGCCUGUAUACUGAAGUCUGGUCUCCAAAGCAGCUGCUGCUAAUGGCUAAUCUGCAUCUUAUAAAAUAAACAUAGAUUCCUGUAUUUUAGAAGAUAGAGUCAAGGGAUGGAGUGUGGUAUGUUUUCUAACAAAGAAACACACCUUUUAUAUAGGAAGAGGAUGCUAAGAAGUCAGGCCUAUUAGCAAAAUAUUUGUGUUGACAGUGAUUCUCUAGCCCUGUCCAGAGAUGUUAUACAAACAUAAAUCCCUUUGAAAUAAGAAGAUGCUUUUUCACUGAGCUAUAUCACUUUCUCGGAACUAACAGGUCCCAGAUUGGAUAAAGUCCCAAUAAAUUGGAUAAUUUAUUACUCUUCAUGGUUGCUAUUAUAGCAUAGAGAUUUAUGUGCCAAUUCUAACAUAACCAUCCUUAAGAAAGCUGUUUCCUGAAAAUUCCAAGAGAGGCCUUUACAAGUUCUAAAAUGCUUCUCUGGCUAAUUAUCCAACAUCUUUACAUUGAUAAGUGAUUCCAAGAUUAAAACACCAUACAAACAGCUAAAUGAAUAAAAAGAACUAAGCACACUUCUCAAACUGAGUUUCUCUAUGCAAUUACCAGGAGUUGAGCACUUUACUAAUAUGAUAACUAGGCAGGAAAUUGUCUCCUUCCAGGAAAGACAUUUGGGCAGAGCAAUUGAGAUCAGGUACUGCUUUUGACAAAAUCUUUCUGUUCCAGACAAUUUAGGACUUUCAAAAUGAAUCCAUAUAGGAUGAGAUAUAAUUGCUGCAAAGCUCUAACUCAAAUCUAUUACCUGAUUCAAUUUGUAAGUAAGCAUAAUACAUUGUUUUGCUGCAAUAAGUUGUUCUGGAAUCCUUUUUUGGGUCCCAUAUUGCCAAUCUUUAAAAAUGUGUUUUUCCUUUAAUGUUACCUACUAGGCUAGACUUUGGACCUUGCUUGUACAUGUGAAAUCCAAGUAACAGUGUCUCCCAGGUUUCAUGCAGUUUAUCAAGUCAUCCUAUAUGCCAAGAAUUGACUAGGAUCUUCUAUACGCAAUGGAUUUCCUGAACAGAAUUUAACAGUGAUCAUGCUUCUGAGACUCCUUGAGAUGUUCCUAAAAUUCUGCAAAAGUUCUUAAGUUGAAGAUAAUGCUCUGAGUGACUCCUUUCUCAUCUAGGUACCAGAUAUGAGGAGCUGCAAAGCGUGCUUCUGUACUAUGGAAUUCCUGCCUUCACUUAAUAAACAACCCAGAAUUUAAAAUAAACAGCAUUCUAUUACUUUCUCCUAAAUUAUGGUUAGAUUUAGCAUUUUAUUAGGUCUCAGCAGCAAAAGGUGAAGUGUGGCUAUGCAUUUUUAAAGUCACAUGAACAAGCUUAUAUUUCAAAGCCGAGAUGAAGAUGCCUACUCUUGCUGGCCUCCUUCCAUCAUUCUUUUUAAAGAAGUUAAGGGGGGAGGGAACAUAUCUGUUACCAAGUAAAUGACAGGAAAUCUGCAUUAGCUGGCUCCAGAAUAUACUGCCCAUUAAAUCUUUAAUGGGAGAAUGGGAUUCAGCAGCUGGCCAGCUUAUAAAAAAUGGAGCUCAGUAUCCCUUUCUCAAGGUUGCCUAGAAACUAGUCAACAGAGUAAUGAAUAACUUGGGGAGCAAGGAGAUGAUGUCAAACUCUUCCUGCUGUCAGUGCUCAGUUGUUUCACUUCAUGCAUUCAUCCCAAUAGCUUUGAGAAGUGGGAAGAGAAUGGGUUCAGUAAACCCAGGCGCUUUCAGAGUUAAACUGAGUGCCUCUGCAAUAAGCCCUAUACUGUAAUUUCAUAUCAAGAUUCUUGAUAUGAACUAGAAAUGUUGAAUUCAGACAACUCAUGCACUAGAAAUGGUGUAUUCAGACAAAGUCCAGUUUAC